RNAcentral lists this ribosomal RNA (468 nucleotides) under uncultured bacterium. Its description in RNAcentral is "partial 16S ribosomal RNA". It matches the Rfam family "Bacterial small subunit ribosomal RNA", at positions 28 to 507 of the family's 1533-position model. The record is from RNAcentral.
GACGAACGCUGGCGGCGUGCUUAACACAUGCAAGUCGAACGGAAAGGCCCUGCUUUUGUGGGGUGCUCGAGUGGCGAACGGGUGAGUAACACGUGAGUAACCUUCCCUUGACUUUGGGAUAACAUCAGGAAACUGGGGCUAAUACCGGAUAGGAGCUCCUGCUGCAUGGUGGGGGUUGGAAAGUUUCGGCGGUUGGGGAUGGACUCGCGGCUUAUCAGCUUGUUGGUGGGGUAGUGGCUUACCAAGGCUUUGACGGGUAGCCGGCCUGAGAGGGUGACCGGCCACAUUGGGACUGAGAUACGGCCCAGACUCCUACGGGAGGCAGCAGUGGGGAAUAUUGCACAAUGGGCGGAAGCCUGAUGCAGCAACGCCGCGUGCGGGAUGACGGCCUUCGGGUUGUAAACCGCUUUCGCCUGUGACGAAGCGUGAGUGACGGUAAUGGGUAAAGAAGCACCGGCUAACUACGUG